ACGAACGCUGGCGGCUGCUUAACACAUGCAAGUCGAACGGAGUGGCGAACGGGUGAGGAACGCGUGAGCAACCUGCCUAUGACAGUGGGAUAGCCUCGGGAAACCGGGAUUAAUACCGCAUAGUCAUAGAUGGGCUCGCGUCGGAUUAGCUAGUUGGUGAGAUAACAGCCAACCAAGGCGACGAUCAGGAGCCGGUCUGAGAGGCUGAACGGACACAUUGGAAGUGAGACACAGUGCCAACUCCUACGGGAGGCAGCAGUGGGGAAUAUUGCACAAUGGGGGAAACCCUGAUGCAGCGACGCCGCGUGAACGAAGAAGGUAUUCGUAUCGUAAAGUUCUGUCCUAUGGGAAGCAGUACCAUAGAAGAAAGCUCCGGCUAAAUACGUGCCAGCCGCCGCGGUAAUAC
This 406-nucleotide ribosomal RNA is filed under the name uncultured bacterium. RNAcentral's name for it is "partial 16S ribosomal RNA". It matches the Rfam family "Bacterial small subunit ribosomal RNA", at positions 29 to 526 of the family's 1533-position model. The record is from RNAcentral.